Molecule: ribosomal RNA, 217 nt
Filed under: uncultured bacterium
Lineage: Bacteria
Description: partial 16S ribosomal RNA
Rfam family: Bacterial small subunit ribosomal RNA
Source: RNAcentral
UAACCUGCCUCUUAGCGGGGGAUAACUAUUGGAAACGAUAGCUAAUACCGCAUAAAAGUCGACAUUGCAUGAUGUUGACUUGAAAGGUGCAAUUGCAUCACUAAGAGAUGGACCUGCGUUGUAUUAGCUAGUUGGUGAGGUAACGGCUCGCCAAGGCGACGAUACAUAGCCGACCUGAGAGGGUGAUCGGCCACACUGGGACUGAGACACGGCCCAG